Molecule: RNase P RNA, 354 nt
Filed under: Candidatus Izemoplasmatales bacterium
Lineage: Bacteria; Bacillati; Mycoplasmatota; Mollicutes; Candidatus Izemoplasmatales
Description: RNase P RNA component class B
Rfam family: Bacterial RNase P class B
About the family: Ribonuclease P (RNase P) is a ubiquitous endoribonuclease, found in archaea, bacteria and eukarya as well as chloroplasts and mitochondria. Its best characterised activity is the generation of mature 5'-ends of tRNAs by cleaving the 5'-leader elements of precursor-tRNAs.
Source: RNAcentral
AUUAUCGGGUAAUCGAGCGUGAAAGUUAAAUCUUGCGUUAGGAAAGUCCAUGCUAGCACAGGCUGAGAUGCCUGUAGUGUUUGUGCUAAACGAAAAAAUAAGUUUAGGCACUCUUGCAAAAGAGUGACGGCGAAGAAAUGGAUGUAAAAGGCCAAAGUAUUCAUAAAUGUGCCACAGUGACGAACCACAUAAAAUAUAUGUGGUGUGAAACGGGUAAACCCCUCAAGCUAGAAACCCAAAUUAUGGUAGGGGCACGGUUAAGGGAGAAAUGAAUCCACUUAACUGACAGCUUUAAAACUGUAGAUAAAUGAUUACCGACUUUUUAAUUAAAGUUACAGAACAUGGCUUAUAGAU